AGUUUGAUCCUGGCUCAGAGCGAACGCUGGCGGAAUGCUUAACACAUGCAAGUCGUACGGGCGGCUUCGGCUGUCAGUGGCGGACGGGUGAGUAACGCGUAGGAACGUGUCCUGUGGUGGGGGAUAACGCUGGGAAACUGGCGCUAAUACCGCAUGAGGCCUGAGGGUCAAAGCCGUGAGGUGCCAUGGGAGCGGCCUACGUCCGAUUAGCUUGUUGGUGGGGUAAUGGCCUACCAAGGCUGCGAUCGGUAGCUGGUCUGAGAGGAUGAUCAGCCACACUGGGACUGAGACACGGCCCAGACUCCUACGGGAGGCAGCAGUGGGAAAUAUUGGACAAUGGGCGAAAGCUGAUCCAGCAAUUCCGCGUGGGUGAAGAAGGUCUUCGGAUUGUAAAGCCCUUUCGGCAGGGACGAUGAUGACGGUACCUGCAGAAGAAGCCCCGGCUAACUUCGUGCCAGCAGCCGCGGUAAUACGAAGGGGGCUAGCGUUGCUCGGAAUGACUGGGCGUAAAGGGCGG
RNAcentral lists this ribosomal RNA (517 nucleotides) under uncultured bacterium. RNAcentral describes it as "bacterial SSU rRNA". It matches the Rfam family "Bacterial small subunit ribosomal RNA", at positions 10 to 570 of the family's 1533-position model. The record is from RNAcentral.